GAUGAACGCUGGCGGCGUGCCUAAUACAUGCAAGUCGAACGCAUAGCGAAAGGUGCUUGCACCUUUCAAGUGUGUGGCGAACGGGUGAGUAACACGUGGACAACCUGCCUCAAGGCUGGGGAUAACAUUUGGAAACAGAUGCUAAUACCGAAUAAAACUUAGUGUCGCAUGACACAAAGUUAAAAGGCGCUUCGGCGUCACCUAGAGAUGGAUCCGCGGUGCAUUAGUUAGUUGGUGGGGUAAAGGCCUACCAAGACAAUGAUGCAUAGCCGAGUUGAGAGACUGAUCGGCCACAUUGGGACUGAGACACGGCCCAAACUCCUACGGGAGGCUGCAGUACGGAAUCUUCCACAAAGGGCGAAAGCCUGAUGGAGCAACGCCGCGUGUGUGAUGAAGGCUUUCGGGUCGUAAAGCACUGUUGUAUGGGAAGAACAGCUAGAAUAGGAAAUGAUUUUAGUUUGACGGUACCAUACCAGAAAGGGACGGCUAAAUACGUG
RNAcentral lists this ribosomal RNA (497 nucleotides) under uncultured bacterium. Its description in RNAcentral is "partial 16S ribosomal RNA". It matches the Rfam family "Bacterial small subunit ribosomal RNA", at positions 28 to 507 of the family's 1533-position model. The record is from RNAcentral.